Molecule: ribosomal RNA, 462 nt
Filed under: uncultured bacterium
Lineage: Bacteria
Description: partial 16S ribosomal RNA
Rfam family: Bacterial small subunit ribosomal RNA
Source: RNAcentral
GACGAACGCUGGCGGCGUGCUUAACACAUCCAAGUCGAACGGUGAAGCCCUUCGGGGUGGAUCAGUGGCGAACGGGUGAGUAACACGUGAGCAACCUGCCCCUGGCUCUGGGACAACCACUGGAAACGGUGGCUAAUACCGGAUACGACCCGCCUCGGCAUCGAGUGUGGGUGGAAAGUUUUUCGGCUGGGGAUGGGCUCGCGGCCUAUCAGCUUGUUGGUGAGGUGAAGGCUCACCAAGGCGACGACGGGUAGCCGGCCUGAGAGGGCGACCGGCCACACUGGGACUGAGACACGGCCCAGACUCCUACGGGAGGCAGCAGUGGGGAAUAUUGCACAAUGGGCGAAAGCCUGAUGCAGCGACGCCGCGUGAGGGAUGACGGCCUUCGGGUUGUAAACCUCUUUCAGCUCCGAAGAAGCGAAAGUGACGGUAGGAGCAGAAGAAGCACCGGCUAACUACGUG